GAUGAACGCUGGCGGCGUGCUUAACACAUGCAAGUCGAACGGAAAGGCCCAAGCUUGCUUGGGUACUCGAGUGGCGAACGGGUGAGUAACACGUGGGUGAUCUGCCCUGCACUUCGGGAUAAGCCUGGGAAACUGGGUCUAAUACCGGAUAGGACGAUGGUUUGGAUGCCAUUGUGGAAAGUUUUUUCGGUGUGGGAUGAGCUCGCGGCCUAUCAGCUUGUUGGUGGGGUAAUGGCCUACCAAGGCGUCGAAGGGUAGCCGGCCUGAGAGGGUGUACGGCCACAUUGGGACUGAGAUACGGCCCAGACUCCUACGGGAGGCAGCAGUGGGGAAUAUUGCACAAUGGGCGCAGGCCUGAUGCAGCGACGCCGCGUGGGGGAUGACGGCCUUCGGGUUGUAAACUCCCUUCGCUAGGGACGAAGCGUUUUUGUGACGGUACCUGGAGAAGAAGCACCGGCUAACUACGUG
RNAcentral lists this ribosomal RNA (468 nucleotides) under uncultured bacterium. RNAcentral describes it as "partial 16S ribosomal RNA". It matches the Rfam family "Bacterial small subunit ribosomal RNA", at positions 28 to 507 of the family's 1533-position model. The record is from RNAcentral.